CGGGAAACCGGAGCUAAUACCGGAUAAUAUAUUGAACCGCAUGGUUCAAUAGUGAAAGACGGUUUUGCUGUCACUUAUAGAUGGAUCCGCGCCGCAUUAGCUAGUUGGUAAGGUAACGGCUUACCAAGGCAACGAUGCGUAGCCGACCUGAGAGGGUGAUCGGCCACACUGGAACUGAUACACGGUCCAG
Molecule: ribosomal RNA, 190 nt
Filed under: uncultured Staphylococcus sp.
Lineage: Bacteria; Bacillati; Bacillota; Bacilli; Caryophanales; Staphylococcaceae
Description: partial 16S ribosomal RNA
Rfam family: Bacterial small subunit ribosomal RNA
Source: RNAcentral